This 435-nucleotide ribosomal RNA is filed under the name uncultured bacterium. RNAcentral describes it as "bacterial SSU rRNA". It matches the Rfam family "Bacterial small subunit ribosomal RNA", at positions 335 to 762 of the family's 1533-position model. The record is from RNAcentral.
ACUCCUACGGGAGGCAGCAGUGGGGAAUAUUGCACAAUGGGGGAAACCCUGAUGCAGCCAUGCCGCGUGUGUGAAGAAGGCCUUCGGGUUGUAAAGCACUUUCAGUAGGGAGGAAGGUAGUGUAGUUAACACCUGCAUUAUUUGACGUUACCUACAGAAGAAGCACCGGCUAACUCCGUGCCAGCAGCCGCGGUAAUACGGAGGGUGCGAGCGUUAAUCGGAAUUACUGGGCGUAAAGCGCAUGCAGGCGGCCUGUUAAGUCAGAUGUGAAAGCCCGGGGCUUAACCUCGGAAUUGCAUUUGAAACUGGCAGGCUAGAGUCUUGUAGAGGGGGGUAGAAUUUCAGGUGUAGCGGUGAAAUGCGUAGAGAUCUGAAGGAAUACCGGUGGCGAAGGCGGCCCCCUGGACAAAGACUGACGCUCAGAUGCGAAAGCGU